UACAGAGGGUGCAAGCGUUAAUCGGAAUUACUGGGCGUAAAGCGUGCGCAGGCGGUUAUAUAAGACAGAUGUGAAAUCCCCGGGCUCAACCUGGGACCUGCAUUUGUGACUGUAUAGCUAGAGUACGGUAGAGGGGGAUGGAAUUCCGCGUGUAGCAGUGAAAUGCGUAGAGAUGUGGAGGAACACCGAUGGCGAAGGCAGCCCCCUGGGCUGAGAUUGACGCUCAGGCACGAAAGCGUGGGGAGCAAACAGG
RNAcentral lists this ribosomal RNA (253 nucleotides) under uncultured bacterium. Its description in RNAcentral is "partial 16S ribosomal RNA". It matches the Rfam family "Bacterial small subunit ribosomal RNA", at positions 524 to 776 of the family's 1533-position model. The record is from RNAcentral.